GGGUCGGUAGCUCAGUUGGUAUAGCAGUGGACUCUUAAUCCAUUGGUCCAGGGUUCGAGUCCCUGCCGACCCACCA
Molecule: transfer RNA, 76 nt
Filed under: Parahaemophilus parainfluenzae
Lineage: Bacteria; Pseudomonadati; Pseudomonadota; Gammaproteobacteria; Pasteurellales; Pasteurellaceae
Description: Haemophilus parainfluenzae tRNA-Lys
Rfam family: tRNA
About the family: Transfer RNA (tRNA) molecules are approximately 80 nucleotides in length.
Source: RNAcentral